RNAcentral lists this ribosomal RNA (429 nucleotides) under Acidobacteriota bacterium. RNAcentral's name for it is "Acidobacteria bacterium partial 16S ribosomal RNA". It matches the Rfam family "Bacterial small subunit ribosomal RNA", at positions 355 to 776 of the family's 1533-position model. The record is from RNAcentral. Lineage: Bacteria; Pseudomonadati; Acidobacteriota.
UGGGGAAUUUUGGACAAUGGGGGAAACCCUGAUCCAGCCAUCCCGCGUGUGCGAUGAAGGCCUUCGGGUUGUAAAGCACUUUUGGCAGGAAAGAAACGUCAUGGGUUAAUACCCCGUGAAACUGACGGUACCUGCAGAAUAAGCACCGGCUAACUACGUGCCAGCAGCCGCGGUAAUACGUAGGGUGCAAGCGUUAAUCGGAAUUACUGGGCGUAAAGCGUGCGCAGGCGGUUCGGAAAGAAAGAUGUGAAAUCCCAGAGCUCAACUUUGGAACUGCAGUUUUAACUACCGAGGUAGAGUGUGUCAGAGGGAGGUGGAAUUCCGCGUGUAGCAGUGAAAUGCGUAGAUAUGCGGAGGAACACCGAUGGAGAAGGCAGCCUCCUGGGAUAACACUGACGCUCAUGAACGAAAGCGUGGGGAGCAAACAGG